This 591-nucleotide ribosomal RNA is filed under the name Bogertophis rosaliae. RNAcentral's name for it is "partial 12S ribosomal RNA". The record is from RNAcentral. Lineage: Eukaryota; Metazoa; Chordata; Lepidosauria; Squamata; Colubridae.
AUAAUAGUAACGGCGUAAAGCACGACUAAUAAUAUGUCUAAACAUUAGGAAAGAAACCAAGCCGGGCUGUAAAAAGCCAUAAGCCACACUAACUGCCCUAAUAACAAACAACUACCACUCGUGAAAGCUAGGACACAAACUAAGAUUAGAUACCUUACUAUGCCAAGCUAUAAUAUAACAAUUAAAUCACCCAUUGUUCGCCAAACAACUACGAGUAAAAACUUAAAACUUAAAAGACUUGACGGUACCUCAAAACAACCUAGAGGAGCCUGUCUAAUAACCGAUACUCCACGAUUAAUCCAACCCACCCUAGCCUUAACAGUCUAUAUACCGCCGUCGCCAGCCUACCUUGUGAAAGAAACAAAGUGAGCCAAAUAGCUAUACGCUAAUACGACAGGUCGAGGUGUAACUUAUGGGGGGGAUAAGAUGGGCUACAUUCUCUAACUCAGAAAACACGAAUGAAUCUAUGAAACAGAAACUGAAGGCGGAUUUAGAAGUACGGUGGGAACAAUAUACCCAACUGAAACUAGUGCAAUGAAGUGCGUACACACCGCCCGUCAUCCCUGUAAAUUAACUAAAAACAUACAUAAU